CGGUCUCAUUAGAAGGUAGGAAAAAUGUGCCAUCCUCCUCUUCUAAUAAUUCUACUUAGGGGAUCGUGGAAAAGGGAAAUCAUGGAUAGAAUGAAGGAAGUCACGAAACAAUGGGAAGACUAUCAAGUUGCAAAGAGCUCCAUGGAAGUUCUUGAGGCCCAUGUGAGCCAUAAUUCCUUCUUCAACCAAGUCCCUCAGCAUGGUGGAACUCCUCCGAUUGGUUUGGAGGUCGAAGACGGCAGCGGAAUUUCAAGUAAGGCACCAGAUAUACCCAAGGAUGGACAUAAGGAGUCAGGCAAAGGUACGGAACUUAUGGUCUAGGCGGAAGCCUCUGGGGCUAUAGGGGGUAACACCCAAUCUUCUGUUUGAAGUUUUUCUUGGGUCUUUAAGGGUCGUCUUCUCUGUUUUGGUAUCUAAUGAAUAUUGUAGCUUGAAACUGUAGAGGAGCUGAGGGUAAAAAUUUUUUCUACUCUUAUUAGAAAUCUUAGAAAGGAAUUUGAAGUGAAUUUUGUCAUCCUGCUGGAGACCCAUAUCAGUUGUGUUCGGGGAGAAAAGGUUAGAAACAAAUUUGGGUUAGAUGGUAGUUUUGUAGUGGAGGCUAGAGGGCAAUCGGGAGGGAUUUGGUGUAUGUGGAAUUCGAAUUUCUGGAAAGUGAAUGUGCUAAAUCAUAACUCCUAAUUUGUUCACAUGAAGAUUGAAGAUAGGAAUUCAGUGUAGUGGUUUCUAACAGGCGUCUAUGGGAGUCCUAAUAGAGGUUUCAGGAAAUCUCUCUGGGAGGAUCUUCGCAGUAUUAGCAGGGAUGCCAAUUUGCCAUGAUGCGCCAUUGGCGAUUUUAACGCUAUUUUGAAUGAUCAUGAACAAAGUGGGGAGUCUCUGUUGUGGUAUGGAAGGGCUUGCCUUGAUUUUAAUGCCUGUUUAUUUUACUGCGGCCUUAUGGACCUGGGGUACUCGAGAUGUUCGUAUACUUGGAAAAGAUGUUCUCUGGUGGAAAGGCUUGAUAGGGUAAUUUCUAACCUUGACUGGCAAAUCACCUUCCCAGAGGUAGUUAUCCAACAUUUACCGAGUCUAAAGUUUGACCAUUCUCCUCUCCUUUUGCGCCUUACUUCUCAGGGUGCACCAAAUAAGGGAAGGAGGCCUUUUAGAUUUUUAGCUGCUUGGUUGGAUCACCCUGAUUUCGAUAAUGUUGUUAACAGGGGAUGGAAUCUCCAGGACUCUUGGCAUACUUGCAUGGAAGAUUUUCAGUAGGAGUUAAAGCUUUAAAAUCAUAAUGUCUUUGGUAAUAUCCAUCACAGAAAAUAAAAAUUUUUGAAGAGGCUUCAAGGCAUUAAGAACAGUCUCAUUAUGAACCCGAAUCUUUAUCUGGAGAAAUUGCAGAAGAAGCUUUGGGUGGAAUAUGAGGAGAUCUUGACCCAAGAGAAACUGCUCUGGUUCCAAAAAUCUUGUUGUAAUUGGUUGGAGUUUGGGAACCGUAAUACCAAAUUUUUUCCAUGGCUCAUGGCCCGCAAGAGGAGGUAUCGGAUUGAAGCUUUGCAGUAUGAUAAUGGGUGCUAGGUGCGUGACCGCACAACCCUAGAGAGAAUGGCGACCAGAUUCUAUAGCCAGUUAUAUACCGAUAAUGUUCCAGAUACCCCAUUUGUCUUGAGAAAUAAUUUCCCUCUUCUGGAUAGAGAUGAUCUUGCGAGUACUGGCAGUAACAUCUCUCGUAUGGAAAUAAAGGACGCUCUACUCUCUAUGGGAAGUCUCAAGGCUCCAGGGAAAGAUGGGAUUCAGGCAAUUUUCUAUUAGAAUAAGUGGGACAGGGUGGGAACCGACCUUUGUAAUCUGGUUGAAAGAGUUUUUAAUAGGCCUUUGGACGUCCGAGAUAUUAAUGCGACCCUGAUUACCCUUAUUCCAAAGGUCGAGCCUACAGUUAUGUUAAAGCAAAUGCAUCCUAUUUCUCUCUGCAAUGUCUCCUAUAAAGUUAUUACUAAAGUUUUAUCAAGGAGGUUGAGGAAAAUCAUGAAAAAAGUGGUAAAGCCGACUCAAAGUAGCUUUGUUCGGGAGAGACAUACCUCAGAUAAUAUCAUUAUUACCCAGGAAGUCAUUAACUCUAUGCGAAAGAGGAAAGGCAAGAAGGGUUGGAUGAAGGUUGGUUGGGGUUUGGUUGAGAAAAGAGAUAGCUUUUGGGUAAAGGUGCUGAGAUCUAAAUACAAAUGUGGUAAUGGCAUCAUUCUGAACAUAAGGAGGAAACCUAUGGAUUCAAAUCUAUGGAAGGGAGUUUGUUCAGCUUGGAAGGGCGUGGAAAGGAACACAUCUUGGCGUAUAGCAGAUGGUGCAAGCAUUAACUUUUGGAACCAUAAUUGGGUGAUUGGGAUUUGGAGAAACUGAGAUUGGCUCCCAGAGACAUGGGUUAACAAGAUUGCUGCGAUGGCUCCUUUGUCUCCUUGGAAAGAAGCGGAUCAAGUUGCCAGGGAGCUGAGUGCAGAUGGGACCUUUAGUGUGAAAUCAGCCUACGAUUCUCUUGAUACGGGCUCCUCUGCGAAUGAUCAUGUGUUUUGGCAUAUUUGGGAUUGGAAUGGGCCGGAGAUGAUUCAAACUUUUCUUUAGUUACUAACAAAUGAUGCUCUUCUUACAAAUCACAACCGGAGACGGAGACACAGUCCAAUGAAGCAGGGUGUCUGAGAUGCAACACCACUGAGGAAACUGCUCUUCAUGCGCUCAGGGACUGCCUUGCGGCAAGGCUGGUUUGGCGAAUGCUCCUUCCCGUUCAUGGUGACCAAAAGUUCUUCAACUUGGAUAUUCGAGAUGAUAUGCUCAAACCUGGAAGGUAAAGCCCCCUGGUCUACUAUUUUUGGUGUAGGAGUUUCCUCCCUUUGGUAUCUCUAUAACAAGUUUGUGUUUGAAGGCUCUUUUACUAUGCCAAAAGAUGUCGCUGCUUCUAUAAAAGUUCGGGCCAAAGAUAUUUCCAAAUGGUGUAGAAGAAAAGUCAUUCCAAGAUCUACUAAUACCAACUUUGAGACAUGUACCAAAUGGUUCCCUCCCCAUGAAGGUGCUAUUAAGUUAAAUGUGGAUAGUUUGAUUUUAUCUCAUAUUAAUAAUGCUGCGUGUGGGGGUAUCUUCAGAAAUUCGAUGGGAUCUUGCAUCAUGAGCUUCGCUUGUAAUUUGGGGACAGCCUCGAUCAUGCAUGCUGAGUUGUAGGUUAUUAUCAAGGGACUCUAAAUUGCAGUAAUGAAUGAAUUGACUCAUGUGAUUGUGGAAUUGAAUUCACAAAUGGCCAUUAAACUUGCCUGGGAAUGAUGCCCUUUGUCGCACCCGUACUACUCCCUUAUACAGGAUAUUACUAUUCUGGUUCGUCGAAUCCCUCAUGUGAGUUUGGACCACAUCCUCCGGGAAGCUAAUGUUUGUGCGGAUAUCAUGGACAAGAAGGGACAACAGCUUGGUGUUGGAUUACAUCUAUUGAUCAUCCUAUUCCUGAGCUCUAUUUGCCAAUAUUUUUUUAUUAUGCUGGUACUUAUAGAUUUAGAGGUUCUGCGAUGUAUUGUGUUUUUUGUAUUUUGGAGUCCCUGACCCCUUUCCCUCACAAUAAUAAUAAUAAUAAUAAUAAUAAUAAUAAUAAUGGUCAAAUUUUAAUUUGUCUUCUUA
Molecule: non-coding RNA, 3621 nt
Organism: Arachis ipaensis
Lineage: Eukaryota; Viridiplantae; Streptophyta; Magnoliopsida; Fabales; Fabaceae
Source: RefSeq, a predicted model, not a curated record